GUUUGGAAUAAAGUGAUUAUAAGAGAGAUUUAUGGGGAUUAGACCGAUUGGGAGUGGAAAUAAGAAAGAAAGAAGCAGAAAAAAAUAGAGAGAAAAGGGGAAGGGGAGUGUCCAGCAUUACACAUGGGAUGGAGUUGAUGAGUGGACAAUAUAAGAAGGUUUUAAGCAUGCAUGGGAAGGAGUUUAAGCAUGCAUGGGAUAGGCAUAAGGCUAUCCUAACUAUAAGAUAAGGCUAGGGACUAAUGAAAGUUUUUAGAAAAUUGGGAAGACUAGAUGGGCCGAAUGGUUCUUAUCUGCCGUCACAUUCUAUGUUUCUAUGUUCUAUGUUUCUAUGUUUCUAUGUUUCUAUGUUAGGUGGGAACAUAAUUGGUCAAAAACGUCUCACUGAUAUUGCACAUAUCUAAAACACAUUGCUUUGUGGACAAAGUGGAAACAUUUGUUAUAUCUACCAUUUGCAACGUGAAAGGGUGAAUAACAUUUCAUGGGUUAUGUAAUCU
This is a non-coding RNA of Pelobates cultripes (western spadefoot toad), 497 nucleotides long. NCBI's taxonomy places the organism in Eukaryota, Metazoa, Chordata, Amphibia, Anura, Pelobatidae. The record is from the annotation of a GenBank genome assembly.